This 259-nucleotide ribosomal RNA is filed under the name uncultured bacterium. Its description in RNAcentral is "partial 16S ribosomal RNA". It matches the Rfam family "Bacterial small subunit ribosomal RNA", at positions 97 to 353 of the family's 1533-position model. The record is from RNAcentral.
GGCGGACGGGUGAGUAACGCGUGGGUAACCUGCCUUAUACAGGGGAUAACAGUUAGAAAUGACUGCUAAUACCGCAUAAGCGCACAGGAUUGCAUGAUCCGGUGUGAAAAACUCCGGUGGUAUAAGAUGGACCCGCGUCUGAUUAGCCAGUUGGCAGGGUAACGGCCUACCAAAGCGACGAUCAGUAGCCGACCUGAGAGGGUGACCCGGCCACAUUGGGACUGAGACACGGCCCAAACUCCUACGGGGAGGCAGCAUG